RNAcentral lists this small nuclear RNA (253 nucleotides) under Mus pahari (shrew mouse). RNAcentral's name for it is "sRNA (MGP_PahariEiJ_G0007927.1)". It matches the Rfam family "7SK RNA". From Rfam's summary of the family: 7SK was discovered as an abundant small nuclear RNA in the mid-70s but a possible function has only recently been suggested. Two independent studies have found that 7SK RNA binds the CDK9/cyclin T complex (known as elongation factor P-TEFb). The record is from RNAcentral. Lineage: Eukaryota; Metazoa; Chordata; Mammalia; Rodentia; Muridae.
GGAUAUGAGAGCAACCUGGCUAUGACAUCUGUCACUCUGGGUUGAUUAGACUGGUCUGGCUGGCUAAGCAGUGCCUCCCCUCUCUCUCAUUGUUCCCGGGGUACCCCUCCUGAAAGGACACACUUGGUCAGUGAAGCAGGCCUCCACCCUCACACGGUAAGGGUCAUUCUUCAGUCAAGAGCAUAGGAGAAGCUACUUCCUGCUAGACCCCUAAGUCCCAUGAAGGAUCUUCUGAUUCUAAUUCAGAUGUGUC